This 552-nucleotide ribosomal RNA is filed under the name Lopheros sp. UPOL A00556. RNAcentral's name for it is "partial 16S ribosomal RNA". It matches the Rfam family "Bacterial large subunit ribosomal RNA", at positions 1930 to 2716 of the family's 2925-position model. The record is from RNAcentral. Lineage: Eukaryota; Metazoa; Arthropoda; Insecta; Coleoptera; Lycidae.
GCCGCAGUAUUUUGACUGUGCAAAGGUAGCAUAAUAAUUAGUUUCUUAAUUAGGAACUGGAAUGAAUGAUUGGACGAGAAAAUUACUGUCUCUUUUUAAUGAUUUAUUGAAUUUUAUUUUUAAGUUAAAAAGCUUAAAUUUUUAUAAAAGACGAGAAGACCCUAUAGAGUUUAAUAUUUUUAUAUUAUUAAUUAUUAGAAAUUUAUUUAAUUUUUAAGUAUUUAGUUGGGGUGACUUAAAGAUUAAAUUAAUUCUUUAAUUUAUUUAUUGUUGAUUAGUAAUUUAUAAUUCUGAAUUUUUCAAGUUUAAUAAAAAUUACCUUAGGGAUAACAGCGUAAUUUUUCUUUAAAGUUCUUAUUGAAAGAAAAUUUUGCGACCUCGAUGUUGGAUUAAAAUUAAUUUUUGGAGUAGCAAUUAAAAAAUUAGGUCUGUUCGACCUUUAAAAUUUUACAUGAUCUGAGUUUAAAUCGGCGUAAGCCAGGUUGGAUUCUAUCUUUAAUUUUUUAAUAUUUUUUAGUACGAACGGACCAAAUAUGUAUUAUAUAUUAAUUG